Molecule: long non-coding RNA, 2162 nt
Organism: Ursus thibetanus thibetanus
Lineage: Eukaryota; Metazoa; Chordata; Mammalia; Carnivora; Ursidae
Source: Ensembl
AUGUUCCCACGGUGUAGGAGCACAGCCUGUCUUUCUCAGGUAGACAUGGAAGUGUAUAGAAGACUCAGAAAUCCCAUUAAAUUUCAGAGUCUACUGCCAAUAAAUUUAAUAAGAAAUGGAAGCAAGGUUAUUUAUUUGUUUUACAGCAUUCUCAAGACUGCACAGAAGGAAACUCUUAGAAGAAUUCAGAUCGAUGGGAUCCUUCCUGUCCCUCAUGACAAAGAGGACACCCCAGGGAGUCCCUGUCUUGGCUGCUGAAAGCUAUAGCCCUGUUAGGAGCACCCGGCUGAUUGGAAUGACAUGCCCAGCUCCCCCCGGGGCUCAGAGAAUGCAUUAAUGUCACAGAAGAGAGGCAAGGACACUGGAGAAUGAAACUGUGGGUUGUUAUUUUGCCAUUGGACAGAUUUGCACCAACAGGCAGAAGACAGCAUCAAAAGUUGUAUUAUUCAUGCAAUUUUACAGUCAACCCAUUCUUUGUGAAUGCUUUUCUGUGAAGUUCUCAAUGCUUUAACCUUCCAGCCUUGCCUUACUUUCUUUCAAUGUUGAUCUGCUAUGGGAGGCGGUGAGGCUCACUCUCUAACACUGAAUUGUUGAGCAAAAUCAGUUCUGUCUCAGUGCUGUGAUUCCUGUACUAAAUGAAAAAGGAAUAGAAUGGGGGCUGGGGAAAGGGAAAUUUCACAUUUAUUGCCUGCCUACUGUGUGCCAGAUGCUAACCUAGGUGUUUAUAUAUUUAUCUUAUUUAAUUAACACUCUGCAAUUUAUGACACUGAGUGGCAAUGAGCAAGCUGGGGGUUGAACCAUGUAUCUAUGCCUCAAAAAUCCUUCUCUUUUUACCAGGACAGAAAAUAGGAGCCUUCUACUUGUGCCAUUCACUUUGUUUGUCUCUCGUGCUCCACCCUCCCCCCACCACCACAUUCUUUCACACAUUGACUUUGUGUUCAUCUUUUCCCAGUAAUUAGUAAAUUACAACCCCUGCAUCUCAAAUUCUUGACAUUCAUUUGCUGUUUCCCAGUAAUUCAUUCCAUUUGGUAUUUGCUUUGAAAACGACACAGAAGUGCUCGCUAAUGCGGCACGCACUCCCUUGCCUGGAUGAGGCUCUUCACCUCAUUUAUCACGUUGCGUUGCUGGUCCUGAAGGCUGACAGGCAAUUCAGGCUUUCUGAAUGCAAUUCAGGCAUUGAUGUUAAUCUAUAAAGCUUUGGCGUCUGGGUCCUGGCUACCAUGGAAAUGAAAUAGCUUCUUGGAUACUUUUCUACAUGCUGCUGCUACUGUUCUGAAAUGCGCGGCUUGGAGAGACAUUUGUGUGCUGCUUCUGAUGUGAAAAUGUCCAAGGUGAAUAGCUUCUGAACUUUAACCAUUGUUGUUGGCACGGAAGAGGAAGCCCGAACAAGGACACACGUGUGGAAUGCGCUUGCAUUCAUGGACCUACACACUGAAUUUAUUGAUAGUAUUGGGUGAAAAAUCCAUUUAAAAAUACAGACGAAGAGGUGACCAACACAUCUGGUUUCCAAACAGGAAAUCCCUCAGCCUGGACAGGACAGUGGGUGCCAGGAAGCCCAUGAGGAAGCAUGGUGUUUAGUCUCUCGGGUGUGACCUGAUGUUCUCUCAGUUGGGGAAGUUGGUGGCAGGAAAAUGAUUCCGAGGCACAUGCUUUGUCAAGGCGGGACAGGAAGAGUGGAAGUUUGAUGCCUACACUAAAAGUGUGCCCGCAGGCAGCGACCCCCCCCAUACAAACACUCCCAGGGGAAUAUGACAUCGCCUUUGUUCCAGUUGGCCACAGAGGCUGGGAAAGGCUGAGAAAGAUCGCAACCGUAAGGAAUUUAAAUGCCCUCCACCGGAGUUCUACUUUCAAUCUCUUCACUCGAAGUUUCUGGCUCUCUGCUUGACUGUUCACGUGGCCUUCAUUUUAAAACACAAUUCCUUGCUUCAGCUUUUUAAAUUCGGAUGGCAUUGGCAUUAGCAAAGAAAGUGACAAAGUCAUUGACAUGUUGACAUCUAUCCCUAAAGGGACAGAACUUUGAUAUUUUUUUUAAAAAUAAGAAUGUGUCCAACAGUCAGACACUUGAGUGAAAGUAGAAAUGAGAAAGGAUGAACCUGAGGUGCUUUUGAGUAACAAAUGACAGCUGAAUCCACUGUGGGGCUUUGGGUUUCCACAGAAGAUGG